CCUACGGGAGGCAGCAGUGGGGAAUAUUGGACAAUGGGCGAAAGCCUGAUCCAGCAAUGCCGCGUGAGUGAUGAAGGCCUUAGGGUUGUAAAGCUCUUUUACCAGGGAUGAUAAUGACAGUACCUGGAGAAUAAGCUCCGGCUAACUCCGUGCCAGCAGCCGCGGUAAUACGGAGGGAGCUAGCGUUGUUCGGAAUUACUGGGCGUAAAGCGUACGUAGGCGGUUAUUCAAGUCAGAGGUGAAAGCCUGGAGCUCAACUCCAGAACUGCCUUUGAAACUAGAUAGCUAGAAUCUUGGAGAGGUGAGUGGAAUUCCGAGUGUAGAGGUGAAAUUCGUAGAUAUUCGGAAGAACACCAGUGGCGAAGGCGACUCACUGGACAAGUAUUGACGCUGAGGUACGAAAGCGUGGGGAGCAAACAGGAUUAGAUACCCUGGUAGUCCACGCCGUAAACGAUGAUAACUAGCUGUUCGGGCUCUACGAGCUUGAGUGGCGCAGCUAACGCAUUAAGUUAUCCGCCUGGGGAGUCGGUCGCAAGNUUAAAACUCAAAUGAAUUGACCGGNUGAGAGNGCGAGACGACGACGAGGGAGAGG
Molecule: ribosomal RNA, 592 nt
Filed under: uncultured bacterium
Lineage: Bacteria
Description: bacterial SSU rRNA
Rfam family: Bacterial small subunit ribosomal RNA
Source: RNAcentral